This is a long non-coding RNA of Phycodurus eques (leafy seadragon), 6060 nucleotides long. RefSeq lists it as uncharacterized. Lineage: Eukaryota; Metazoa; Chordata; Actinopteri; Syngnathiformes; Syngnathidae. The record is from RefSeq and is a predicted model, not a curated record. The transcript is spliced from 2 exons.
UAGUCACAAGGCUUUGAUGGUGAUGACAUAAAAACGCCUCAUCAUUAUGAAUGCUGCAGCUAUCCAAGUAAACCGUGAAAAAAGACCACAUGAGGACUACUGAAGUUUGUAGGGCUAAACUAAAGACGCUCAGAGAGGCCACAGUUCCUGGUUAGGAUGUAUCGAUUCAUCAACCGUGAUAAAGGAGUCAGUGGCUUCGAAGUAAUACUCUGGUUCUUGACUACCAUCGCCGUGGCGGUCUUCAUCUGGAUGUGGACGAUUUCCCCGUCCACUUGCCCUACGCGCGUGAGCGAGGAGGCCGUCGCCCGUCUGAACGGCACCGAGCACCUGCCGACGUCGGCCUUUGUCGACAAGAACGUGCACAGGGUGCACGUCGUCGGCAUGUUCAGGAGGGACGCGGUGCAGCAGCUGCGUUGUGUCUUCUGCUGCCACGGCUUCUUGUCCAAACCGGGCCUGGCGAGGGUUCUACCGCGUACCCGAGACUUCGGCUCGCCCUACGUCUACAGCCUCCUGUGUCGGGUGCCGCUGGACUGCCCGGUCACGCGUGUGGUGGCCCUCGGAGUCGGUGAGGGGAACCUGAUGUGGCUGCCCAUACAAUGAAAGAAAAAAAAGUUAUAUGAAUGUAUAUUGGUGGCGAAUGAUUCAAUUGUGGUAAACUGACGAAAUUUCCCCUCUUCUGCUCAGUUAGCGAAAAUGCUUGGAAAACCACCACAUUUGUUGUUCAUGUUCAUUUGUUAGUUAAUGUUACACUGCACGUGGACCGGGUUGGACUGCGAAUAGCGAAAAUCCGCCCAUUAUAAUGAAAGAAAAAAACGUUUUUUGUUUGUUUUUUUUAAACCCCCAAGAUUCUUGAAUAAGUGGCAAUAACCUGCUCAUAUCCAUUUUUGGGGUUGGUUCCUUCCCAAAAAAGAAAACCAAAAUUAAAUAAAUGGAAACGAUUUGAAAAAAAUCUAAAUCUGCAAAUAUCCGCGGGUGCACGCGGGGGUCCACUGUACACCUAUUCGUUAUGUAAAGGUAAACUCAUUUCUUGGUGUCCAGUUGACGUGGUUUGAACUGUCUGUCUUUAAAUGACAGUAUUAACUGAAGGUAUAUAUUUAUAGCUUUAAAGCAAUUUUCUUAAUUGCCUAAAGUUUUCUAACUCCCCCAAAACCCAACUGUGAUAGAAAAAAUAAAAAAAUGCUCACCUCAAAUAAAUUGUAGACAGAAUAAAACACAACUGAUUUUGAGGUUGCAUUGAAAAACUCAAUUCUGUACCACUCAAAACAUCCAUCCAUCCGUCCGUUUUCUGAGCCGCUUCUCCCCACUAGGGUCGCGGGCGUGCUGGAGCCUAUCCCAGCUGUCAUCGGGCAGGAGGCGGGGUCCACCCUGAACUGGUUGCCAGCCAAUCGCAGGGCACAUAGAAACAAACAACCAUUUGCACUCACAGUCAUGCCUACGGGCAAUUUAGAGUCUCCAAUUCAUGCAUGUUUUUGGGAUGUGGGAGGAAACCGGAGUGCCUGGACAAACCCCACACAGGCGGGGCCGGGGAUUGAACCCGGGUCCUCAGAACUGUGAGGCUGACGCUCUAACCAGUCGUCCACCGUGCGGCCCGCUCAAAACAUAUUUAAUAUAUUUUAGACAUUACACAGCAGCUGUAGCAAUGGAAUUGGAAGCGAGCAACAGAUAAAUAAAAUGAUACGCUAAAUCCACAGCCUCAAAUGACAGGAAUGUAAUGAUACAAAUUAAAUAUUAAACAUAAAUCAUAUUUUUAAAAAUGCUAAAUAUUGCUGCAACGCAAACAACCCUGUUAAUGACCAAAUGAACAACAUAACCUACAGUGAAGCAUGGUGGCAUCCUAUAUAUUAUAUUAGUGGUUCUCAAAGUGUGGUAUCCCAAAGAAUAUGCCUAGACACAGUUCAGUUGUAUUUAACUUUUUAGUACAUACUUACGGCAAUACACUUGUACACUGAUGUCAAAGUGAAAUUACAGGACUAUAAGCCACACAAAAAAAAGAUGACUUAUGAUAAUUUAACCCUUAAAAAUAAAUAACUCAGACAGAGCACUGCACUUACUGACUGGCCACAUCAAAAAAUGUGUUCCAGGCUGGCUGGUGGACAAAUGUAAAGCUUAAUUCACAUUUCAGAUGAUCUGGCAAGACGUGUUGUUGUAGAUGUAGAUGUCUGGAAGGCUGGAAAUACCAAUGCAUGCGAUGUGCUGUAAACAUGAGGCCGCCUGAAUCUGAUGAGAAUCACAAACAUGCACUGCUUUCGCACACAUUUCCUAUUAUCCUGCUUAAGUGAUGCCCCCUUGUGCUAUUUUAAUGCAACUCCAUGCUGUAUUUUAUGUUUACAGUAUUUUAGCACACACUCCAUUCAAGCAUAAAGACAAAUAAAAAUAUUUUAAAAUUCAAUUAAUUGAGGUUGUUUUAAGAUGAAAGGGGGCUAGGGGGGGAAACCCUAGUAAAUCACCCCAUAAGAUGAAAGUGAUAUGUUUGAUGGGGUUUUCAUUUCUUGUAACUUGUAUGAGUGGUCUCAGAUUAUCAUCUGUCUUUCAUAUAGGUAAUUUUGGUACAUUCUCUUCUCUUUGUAGAAUCUCAAAAAAGGAAGUUGUAUUUCAAGUGUGGUCUACAGUGUUCCAGUUUACAUAUCGGUACACUCAUAUGUUCCAGUUUUCAAUGAUUGAACUUUCUACUGUGUUGGUGUCACCACUGGGCUCAUGGUAUUUUUGAUUGACAAUGAAGUGAGGAUAAGCGGUACGGAAAAUUAAUGAAGGAAUAAUAAUUUAAAAAAAAAAGAAAAAGUUAGUCAUUUUCCAGUUUGCUAAAUAUAUGUAAACGUUUAUGAUUUAGUUUGUAUUUGUGAAAGUACUUGCACAGAGGGGAAAUUGACGCACAUUAUGCUAAUACAGAACUUGCUUCAAAACUAGAAUAGUUGAAGUGAGCAGAGGGCUUCAUUUAGUCAGGCAACUAUAGAUUAAGGCUAAAAUAUAAGAUUAUAGAUUACAAGCCAUUUUGGAUUUUCACGACUCACGUUUCAAUUCUGUGGCCCCACGCUGCAACACAAGCACCAAGACAACACUUGAAAAUCAUAAUUUCCUUUUGUGACUCAUCUAAUGACAAAAAAAAUAAAUAAAAUUCCAAACAGCGCCCAGAAAAAAACACACGACAGAUAAGAUCACAUACAUUAGGUGCUACUCGCCAGCAGGUGUCAAAUAAGUACAAUAAGUGGUAAAAUAAUGUCAGUACUAUUGAUAAAAUGCUUUUUAAAAAAAUGCAGUCCUGUGAUUACCAUACAGAAAAUUCACACGAUUAUAUUAAAUUGAAAUAUACACAAUCUUUACAAAUACGAUUUAAAAACUGCCGAAAUAUCAGCAAUAUAAAUUCGAUUUAAAAACUGCUGAAAUAUCAGCAAUAUAAAUACGAUCUGUUAUGCUCUGAAUCUGCAAUAGUUGAACUGCGGCACACCGAGGGAUUACUGUACUGUAUAAUAUGUUGAGAUUAUCUUUAUAAAAUAAAUACAUAAAUUCUGACCAGUGGAUUAUAGAUUAUUUUGCGAGGCUGUUUCCUGGCCCAGAGCGUAUCUUCGUUUGAGACACUUCUGCUGUUUGAAGAUUAAAAUAGCUGCCAGAGCAGUGGCAAUUACCACGCCCAAAACGCCACCUGCAACAAUAGCUGUGCACAAUAUAAAACAGAUUUAAUAUACAUUUCUUUUGUCUACCAAAAAUACAAAAUAAUGUUUAUAUCGAGCAAUACCUGCAACAUUGUCCUUGUUCUCCAAGAAGCUCGUGUGUUUCCCUUUUGUAAAAAUGGCUGAGUUCAUGUCUUGGGCAAGCUCUUUUAAAUAUUUCAAGUCGAGUUUGGAACCACCCUAAAAGACAAACUUAAUAUUAUUCUUGAUCGUGUUUAAUUAAGGUACCACUUGAUCAUAUACUGUAAUAGCAAAAGAAUGACAUGAAAAGUAGUACAAAAACAUUCAUCAAAAAAGUCUGUCACCCGGCGACGUGCGAACAUAUUAAACAUGCAUGUAACGUGUUGAGAGUCGUACGUGUUUGGGCUUGGUUUCUAACUCUUCAUCCUUGAUAUUGUCACCUGGUAGGGGGGAAAAAAAGGAAGAUAUAAUUACAUAAUAGGUGCAUCUCAAUAACUUUGAAUAUUGUGGAAAAACUCCCAAAUUUACAACUCUACAUAUUAGAAUAUUACUUAAUAUAUGAUCAUGUUUCCAUAUACUGUAGAAAAAAAAAAAGCAAAAUGAAUGAGUUUCACUUUUUGAAUUGAACUAGUGACUUUUGGACAUGUAUAAUCAAAAUAGAAAAAUAAGGUACUCAGAUUCUAAUACUGAAUUUAUAAUGGGGACCAAGUAUUACCGUCAUCGCCAUUGUCCUGGUUAUAGCCUGAUACAUCAAUGUCUUCGGUAGCAUCACAAAACUAAUUAAAUGAAGGGAACAAUGGUCAAGAAAUAAGACAUCUGGUGGAAUAAAGAAAUGCAUCAUGUCUAAGUAGCAAGAACCCCUUAUGUCAAUGUCAAUCACAGACGCACAUAUCAACAAACAAAAGUAUUUGGCACCAUCUCGUGGAAUCUUCGUGUUGUUAGGUUUAAUUGAUUGGUGUUUUUUCAUCUGUGUUUGAGAUCUCCUGUUUUGUUCAGUCCUUUUAUGCAACUCGUGCACACUGUAAAACUUAAGUUUGUUUUUGCCUCCCCCCCCCCCUGAUGCAGCUACUCAUGGCCCAUGUGGUCUACUUUACCAUUACAUUUUGCUUGUAUUCUCCAACAUUUAUUUUUAUGUCUAAAUGUCAAAAGGUGAGCUUAAUUAAAUUUGUUGUAAAGUGCUCUUGUGCAUAUUUCUUUGCCAUGAAUGACGUCACGUCACUUUGUGCUAGCAAUUUAUUUAGGCUCACAUGCUAGCUAAAACUGUUAAUAAGCCGCCUGUGUUCGUGGCUUGUUUAUGUCAAAUGGUUUAACUACUGAAUUCAGUCGUUUAUGUAACGUGGGUUCCUGAUUGUGUACGUGCUAGUUGCAUGGUGUUGAUGCUUUAUGAUCCUUUGUUGCCUGUGCUUCUGAUUUGCGCUCCCUUCCAGUGCUCGCACAGCAACAACUACAGGACACUUCUGAUGACUAAACGUGCAUGCAUGACAGUGUCUACAAAGACACACGCCCAUGGGAAUUAGUUGCUUGGUGUGGCCUCACUCGCCCAAUUGCUAUACACAACCUUUAUUUCAAUCACAUCACAUUUAUGUAUUUGAGGUAUCCUGUUGAUAAAAGCUGUUGUCCUCAAACAGACCAUCAAGAUGGUGCACCACCCCCACAUUGGGGACUGCGUGCUUGCAAGCCCGAAAACCUGGCCAACUCCUUCACCAGAUAUCACUCCCCUGGACUUUUUUCUAUGAUGAUAUUUUAAAAAGUACAUGGUACAUACAUACAGGGAAAAAAAAAAAACAUUCAAACUCCCAUUCACACCUAAGGACAAUCGUCAAUGAACCUGCCAUGCAUGUUUUUGGAAUGUGGGAUGAAACUGCUGAAACCCACACAAGCAUGGGGAGAACAUGCAAACGCCACAGUGAGGUCGGAGCUGAGAUUCGAACCCCCAACCUCAGAACUGUGACGUGAACGUCCAAGCUAAAGCGCCAUGUUGGAGAGAACUUUUGACUUCAUCGUGGAUUCUUGAACUACCCCCUACCCCAAAAAAAAAAAAAAUUACAUAUGUAUUGCCAGUCUAUUAUGGAAAUUAUCUUCAAUAACGCUCAGUGUUGAUUGAUAUCCUCAUCUAGUUGUUAUCCAAACCAUUAUCUUAAUUGUGUUAGUUGGUCUGGAGCUAUUUCAUCUAUUUCGGUUUGCUUAUUUCGCGAGACGAGAAAAUGUUUUAUGAUUAAGUAGUUCGGCAGCACUAUAAACCAAUGAAUAAUACAUAUUUAAAUUCAUGCGGCACAAUUUAGUAAAAAAACCCAAAAAACUAGCAUUUCAGAUGUGAGACGAAUCUGCGAGUGCGGAAAUAAGGCGUUUAAAACGUCUCCGAGUCAAGCGUAAAUCAGGCUUACCGAUUUUUCCACUGUGAAUAAGGAGACCAAAAAUAAAGUCGUUAAUAUUU